RNAcentral lists this ribosomal RNA (254 nucleotides) under uncultured bacterium. RNAcentral describes it as "partial 16S ribosomal RNA". It matches the Rfam family "Bacterial small subunit ribosomal RNA", at positions 524 to 777 of the family's 1533-position model. The record is from RNAcentral.
UACGUAGGGUCCGAGCGUUGUCCGGAAUUAUUGGGCGUAAAGGGCUCGUAGGCGGUUUGUCACGUCGGGAGUGAAAACUCAGGGCUCAACCCUGAGCGUGCUUCCGAUACGGGCAGACUAGAGGUAUGCAGGGGAGAACGGAAUUCCUGGUGUAGCGGUGGAAUGCGCAGAUAUCUGGAGGAAUACCGGUGGCGAAGGCGGCAUCUGGACCGAGAUUGACGCUGAUGAGCGAAAGCUAAGGGGAGCAAACGGGG